UGCAUUGUUACAUUAGGUACAACAAAAUACAAAAACAAUAUUAAUACACAAUAUAUACAAAAUUUAACAUAGAACAGGCAGGAAAUAUAUAAUCAACCAUGACACGUGCAUUCUGUUUUGAGGUAUGUAGAGAGGGAUCUCUUAAAUGACUUUAGGCUUAGGGAAGAUUUUAAAUUGUGCGGGAGGUCGUUCCACAAUUGCGGCGCUCUGUAGGAGAAGGAGGAUCGGGCCGCUUUCUUUUGUAU
Molecule: long non-coding RNA, 245 nt
Filed under: Pelobates cultripes (western spadefoot toad)
Lineage: Eukaryota; Metazoa; Chordata; Amphibia; Anura; Pelobatidae
Source: RNAcentral